UACGGGGGGGGCAAGCGUUGUUCGGAAUUACUGGGCGUAAAGGGCUCGUAGGCGGCCAACUAAGUCGGACGUGAAAUCCCCAGGCUCAACCUGGGAACUGCGUCCGAUACUGGAUGGCUUGAAUCCGGGAGAGGGAUGCAGAAUUCCAGGUGUAGCGGUGAAAUGCGUAGAUAUCGAGAGGAACACCUGCGGCGAAGGCGGGUUGCUGGGCUGACACUGACGCUGAGGCGCGAAAGCUAGGGGAGCGAACGGG
This 253-nucleotide ribosomal RNA is filed under the name uncultured bacterium. RNAcentral's name for it is "partial 16S ribosomal RNA". It matches the Rfam family "Bacterial small subunit ribosomal RNA", at positions 524 to 776 of the family's 1533-position model. The record is from RNAcentral.